UGCGUGAAGUGAUUGUGAUGUUUGAUAAUCCAGGGAAGUCCAGGACAGGGAUUAGGCAUAUAAUAGGAUUAAACUCCUAAUCGGCACCUCGACGUGACCGACAAUAUAACAAAGGUUUCCUCCGAGUCCAGUCCACAAGUCGAUUUGGGGAGACAGAAAGCACAGGCUUGUAGCUCACGAAAAAUCUUCUUUAAUCACUCGAAGAAACCAGACUACGAUUCACAAUGAAUACGGGAGUAUUGCUAAUGUUGCUCGUUGCCUUGUUCAUGGUAUUGGCUCCUGCCAGUGCUCUCGUUAUCACCAAAAAGAGGAAUUUCCCAGGAGAGAGACGCCUGGGGAAGGUUAAUUACGGACAGCACGAAUUUGGACCCAAAGGCUACCGUAGACGAGCCCAUUACAGGCGAGGAUGAAGCUAAGAUCACCUUUAUCAAACUAUAAACAACGUGAACCUAGGCCAUCAAUUCUUGAGUCUCGAAGGCCCUGGAAACAUGACGGUGAAAAUUUUGUUUUUGAAAUUUCGUCAUGUCAGAAAAAGGAGAAAGUUAUUCGUGUUGUGAAGUGAAUUCAUUUUUUUUUUUUAGACUUGAUUUUUAAGUCAAGUGACUUUGACAAGCUUUAUGUUUUUAGUAUUCUUAAGUGUGUGUAGUUAUUAAAAACUAGUCUAAAUGUGUGAUUGUUUUCUCUGAAUGUAACCAUUUUUCUGUUUUUUUGAAGUUUUGUAUAGAAUCUAUAUUUCUAUAUAAAAAAAAACUACGAUAAA
This 760-nucleotide long non-coding RNA is filed under the name Penaeus japonicus. Its description in RNAcentral is "uncharacterized LOC122262647". The record is from RNAcentral. Lineage: Eukaryota; Metazoa; Arthropoda; Malacostraca; Decapoda; Penaeidae.